AUGAACGCUGGCGGCAUGGAUUAGGCAUGCAAGUCGAACGGUAACAGGAACCACCGCAAGGUGGGACGCUGACGAGUGGCGAACGGGUGAGUAACGCGUGAGUAACCUGCCGUAAGGUUGGGGAUAGCCCCGCGAAAGCGGGAUUAAUACCGAAUGUGGCGUUUUACCGCAUGGUAGAAUUGCUAAAGGAGCAAUCCGCCUUACGAUGGACUCGCGUCCUAUUAGCUUGUUGGUGAGGUAACGGCUCACCAAGGCGACGACAGGUAGGUGGUCUGAGAGGAUGGUCACCCACACUGGGACUGAGACACUGCCCAGACUCCUACGGGAGGCUGCAGUCGAGAAUCUUCCGCAAUGGGCGAAAGCCUGACGGAGCGAUGCCGCGUGAGGGAUGAAGGCCUUCGGGUCGUAAACCUCUGUCACCCGGGAUGAAAAAAAUGACAGUACCGGGAGAGGAAGCCACGGCUAACUACGU
RNAcentral lists this ribosomal RNA (472 nucleotides) under uncultured bacterium. RNAcentral describes it as "bacterial SSU rRNA". It matches the Rfam family "Bacterial small subunit ribosomal RNA", at positions 29 to 506 of the family's 1533-position model. The record is from RNAcentral.